This 251-nucleotide ribosomal RNA is filed under the name uncultured bacterium. Its description in RNAcentral is "partial 16S ribosomal RNA". It matches the Rfam family "Bacterial small subunit ribosomal RNA", at positions 15 to 263 of the family's 1533-position model. The record is from RNAcentral.
GAUCCUGGCUCAGGACGAACGCUGGCGGCGUGCCUAACACAUGCAAGUCGAACGGGACUUAGCCCCUUCGGGACUGAGUUUAGUGGCGAACGGGUGAGUAACGCGUGAGGAACCUGCCUUUCAGUGGGGGACAACAGUUGGAAACGACUGCUAAUACCGCAUAAUGCUCUUUAAUGGCAUCAUUGAAAAGCCAAAGAUUUAUUGCUGAAAGAUGGCCUCGCGUCUGAUUAGCUAGUUGGUGGGGUAACCGG